AAAAAUCAUUAAAGUUCUACAAAAGAUAAAAACUACAAUUCCUGUUUUAUUGAUUGUCGAGUCUCACCAAAAAACCUGAAAAAGAAAGAUGAUCUUGUAUAAGAUAACUACUAAAAAAUAUAACAAUAAUGUAUGAUGUCAAAAUCAUGAUUGAAGAAACUUAAAUCAUUGAAGUUAAAUGUAUAGACUCUUAAUUUACAUACUUAAAAAAUGGUGAUCAAAUUAAAAGAAAUUAAAGUGAAAUGAUCAACGUGAGAUAAACUUGUAAGUUGGGUCAUCUUCAAGUAAAAUUUCCCUCUCUCGAAGCUGUUAAACGUCGAACACUGAGUACAAGGAUUGUGAAUAUUCUCUUCUUUUUUCAGUGUCCUUCCAAGAUUGAUAACAGAGUUCAAAUUGUUCAAUACAUCACAGUAUAAUUGUUGACACACAAAAAGUUUAGCCCAAAUCGAAUAGUCCAAGGAAUGAAGUCCAAUUGGAGGAUCCCCAAAUCAAAUGGCCCAAAAAACGGCCCAAUCAGACAAUUCAGGAUAAAAGCCCAAAUAGGGAAGCCCAUGAACACGGUAAUACCAUCGUCCAACUUUGCAAGUCGCCCAAAAUUUGAGCGAAUGGAUUGUCAUGCAGUCGCCCAGAGCUGUGACUCUGUUCUCGCUCAAACUUUCAAGUCGCCCAGGAUCUUAGCAAACAUAAGAUGUUAUGGUUACCCAAAAGUGCGGUUAAUGAAGCAGUUAUUGAGUAGCCCUAUCACGUUCCACAAUCCAAGGAAUUCAAUUGAAGACGGUUGAACGACCAAAAGUAAUGACAGCAGUUAGAGAAGGCAGUUCCAUGACAAGUUGGCCACCAUGAAGAAAGUGGGCAGUUAUAGAGCGAUCAAGCAGUUUUUAAGCGGUUGAUCACGAAGAGAUCAUUCAGGGAGUAUAAAAGGAAGAAAAGACAUAGAGCAGAGGACCCUGAAUCAAAUACUCUCAAACAAAGAAUAUGUAACUUUCAAUUUCUUAAUUUAGAUUUAAACACUUCUUUUCAGUAACUCGUGUGCUUGCGCCCCUUGGAGGCAUUCUGUUUUAUUUUCCAAUUGUAAAGUCAUC
Molecule: long non-coding RNA, 1082 nt
Filed under: Olea europaea subsp. europaea
Lineage: Eukaryota; Viridiplantae; Streptophyta; Magnoliopsida; Lamiales; Oleaceae
Source: RNAcentral